RNAcentral lists this transfer RNA (73 nucleotides) under Rickettsiales bacterium. RNAcentral's name for it is "tRNA-Lys". It matches the Rfam family "tRNA". From Rfam's summary of the family: Transfer RNA (tRNA) molecules are approximately 80 nucleotides in length. Their secondary structure includes four short double-helical elements and three loops (D, anti-codon, and T loops). The record is from RNAcentral. Lineage: Bacteria; Pseudomonadati; Pseudomonadota; Alphaproteobacteria; Rickettsiales.
CCCCGUCUAGCUCAGUUGGUAGAGCGUACGGCUUUUAACCGUAUGGUCCUGGGUUCGAGCCCCAGGGUGGGCA